This 220-nucleotide unclassified non-coding RNA is filed under the name soil metagenome. Its description in RNAcentral is "partial contains 5.8S ribosomal RNA, internal transcribed spacer 2, and large subunit ribosomal RNA". The record is from RNAcentral.
AACGCACGAGACCUGCGGACCUGCGGAGGGAUCAUUACUGAGUACCGGAGCCUUCGGGUUCCUACUCCCACCCUAUGUUGACUUUGAAUGUUGCUUUGGCGGACCGGUGGUCUCACCGCUGGCCUAGGCUAGAGAGCGUCCGCCAGAGGAUUUUGAACUCUGUUUAACGGUGAAUUCUGAGUCUUGAUAAAUGAAUCAAAACUUUCAGCAAUGGAUCUCU